UCAAAUGGUAGGUCAAUUUGUGCUGGCAUGGCUGCUGCACUUUGUAAGUUUUGCAUCCCAACAUUUCUUUCACUUGAAUUAAAUGAUAAAUUAUAAUUUAAGCAAACCAAAUCCCCACACCCCCCAUAAAAAAGAACUUUUUUCCAAUUUACUCACCUAUGUUUUCACUAGCAAAGUGGCCUACUAUCAAGUUCGGCCUCAAUCCAAUUACUGGGAUUCAAUCUUUGGGCUUCGGGUUUAAGCCAUUCGGGAACCUUUUUUUUCUUGAAAAAUCUGAGUUCGGAUUCGUGAUUAGGAGGCCGUGAAUUCCUUUCGGGUGAAAAUUGGGGUUCAUCGGCCACCGGCAAACGGACCUUUGUAUCACUUGAUUAAGUGAUCAGUUUCCAGGGCAUACAUCCUGUCAUCUCCAACUUGUUCUAAACCAAUAGUUAACACCAAUAUUUAAUAACCGGACUGAUAGUCAACCUUGUCAGAUCACUAAUUUCUAAUUCAAUUGUCAGUAUGAAAAUAUAUUAAGAAUUUAUAAAAUUAGUUCAACUAAUUUAAUUGCUGAUUUUGUUCCAAUUUUCUGUUUUUCAUUGGUUUCAAGCGGUUCAGUCAAAGACUGGUUAAACCCGUAUGUCUAGACUGAUAUACCAGUAACCGGUUAGUUCUCGGUCCGGUUCAGAAAACAUCGGUUAACACAUCUUAUAUCGAACUCUUGUUUAGAAAUUGUAUCUCGAAACGAACAUUUUAGCUCUCUGGAAAAACAGAUAAGCAUAGACUAGCAAAGAGACAAAUACUGGGAAGAUUGGAAACUUGGUGAAGAAUUUUUAACAAGCUAAUACCUAAAGAAUUUUUAACAAGCUAAUACCUAAUGUAAGGCCCAAAUUUUGCCCGGGGCCAAUAAAACUAAAUUUAACUUAAACCAACUUUAGCCCAACCCAAACUAAAACAAAAAAUCCUAGGGGUGCCGCCCUACUGUCUGCCACCAUAACCUACUGCAUAGUUGGCCACCCACCCCAUUUUGCUCUACUUGCCUGUAAUGGAAAAGACAAAUAAAUUAAAAAAAGAACAAGUUGUAAAAGGUUAGAAAAACCUACAAUCUCAAUGUAAUGGAGGGGAUUUUGGAUUCUAUCUCAUUUUCGGCUAAAAAUAGAAGCCGAAAGCAAUCGUAAAAGGGGGAUCCCCAUUCUUGUACGCAAGGAUUUUUCAGAAAUAAAAAGGAGAAAAAAAAAUAAAAAAGGGUUAAUUUCCAAUCGUAUUCUCUUGGUUUUCAUUUUGUUUUUUAAUUUCUUUUUUAUUUCUUUUUUAUUUUUGUUUACAAAUCUAUUAAAUGAAAGUGGGCAUAAAAAAUAAAAAUAAAAAAGAGGAGAAGAGAGUCUUACCGAAUCCACUCCGUGGCUGCGUCGUCGGAGUCCUCCUCUCCGUUCGGCACGGUGAACGACGGCGAUGAUGGGUUUCCGAAAUCCUAACUAAAAAGGGGGAGGGGGAGAGAACUGAGAAGCUCUGUAUUCUUUUUGUUUAAAAUUGGGGCUGG
This 1519-nucleotide long non-coding RNA is filed under the name Gossypium barbadense (sea-island cotton). RNAcentral's name for it is "long non-coding RNA (GBAR_LNC006790)". The record is from RNAcentral. Lineage: Eukaryota; Viridiplantae; Streptophyta; Magnoliopsida; Malvales; Malvaceae.